RNAcentral lists this transfer RNA (63 nucleotides) under pig gut metagenome. It matches the Rfam family "tRNA", at positions 6 to 65 of the family's 71-position model. From Rfam's summary of the family: Transfer RNA (tRNA) molecules are approximately 80 nucleotides in length. Their secondary structure includes four short double-helical elements and three loops (D, anti-codon, and T loops). The record is from RNAcentral.
UUGUUAGCUCAAUGGUAGAGCAAAUGGCUGUUAACCAUUAGGUUAUAGGUUCGAGUCCUAUAC